RNAcentral lists this long non-coding RNA (328 nucleotides) under Gallus gallus (chicken). Lineage: Eukaryota; Metazoa; Chordata; Aves; Galliformes; Phasianidae. The record is from RNAcentral.
CUGGAUCACACGCAGACUAUCCUCUGCUCUCUCGUUCCAUUUAUGGCGCUUAAUACUUUCUUCUUUGACAGCUUGUUUCAGUUUAUCAAAGAUAUCAUCAUGCUCUUUUCCUUUUUGUUCUGUCAUGAAACGAGAAAACUCCUCUUGCAAAGUCUCCCACGCCACCUCUACUGCUUUAUUUGGCAGUUGCUUGUCAGUCCACUGCUUCAGUUUGAUGUCCACAGUGGUGUUAAAUGUCCCUGAGUUCAUUGUCUGUGCUGCUGGAAGGUAGAUAUUCUCAAUCACGUGAGUAGAUACCCUCUCCCAUAAUGUCUUCUGAAGAAUCUCC